Molecule: unclassified non-coding RNA, 322 nt
Filed under: soil metagenome
Description: partial contains 5.8S ribosomal RNA, internal transcribed spacer 2, and large subunit ribosomal RNA
Rfam family: 5.8S ribosomal RNA (bases 1-120)
Source: RNAcentral
GAUGAAGAACGUAGCGAAAUGCGAUAAGUAAUGCGAAUUGCAGAAUUCAGUGAGUCAUCGAAUCUUUGAACGCACAUUGCGCCCUGUGGUAUUCCGCAGGGCAUGCCUGUUCGAGCGUCAUUUCAACCCUCAAGCUCUGCUUGGUGUUGGGCCCUGCCCGCUGCGGCCGGCCCUAAAGACAGUGGCGGUGCCGCCUGGCCCUGAGCGUAGUACAUCUCUCGCUCCAGUGCCCGGUGGUAGCCUGCCAGAACCCCAACUCUCGUGGUUGACCUCGGAUCAGGUAGGGAUACCCGCUGAACUUAAGCAUAUCAAUAAGCGGAGG